UACGUAGGGGGCAAGCGUUGUCCGGAUUUAUUGGGCGUAAAGAGCGUGUAGGCGGCCUUACAGGUCAGCUGUGAAAACUCGAGGCUCAACCUCGAGACGUCGGUUGAAACCGUAAGGCUAGAGUCCGGAAGAGGCGAGUGGAACUCCUGGUGUAGCGGUGGAAUGCGCAGAUAUCAGGAAGAACACCAGCGGCGAAGGCAGCUCGCUGGGACGGUACUGACGCUGAGACGCGAAAGCGUGGGGAGCGAACAGG
Molecule: ribosomal RNA, 253 nt
Filed under: uncultured bacterium
Lineage: Bacteria
Description: partial 16S ribosomal RNA
Rfam family: Bacterial small subunit ribosomal RNA
Source: RNAcentral